CGACCGGCGCACGGUGAGUAACGCGUAUCCAACCUGCCCACCACUUGGGGAUAACCUUGCGAAAGUAAGACUAAUACCCAAUGAUAUCUCUAGAAGACAUCUGAAAGAGAUUAAAGAUUUAUCGGUGAUGGAUGGGGAUGCGUCUGAUUAGCUUGUUGGCGGGGUAACGGCCCACCAAGGCAACGAUCAGUAGGGGUUCUGAGAGGAAGGUCCCCCACAUUGGAACUGAGGCACGGUCCAA
RNAcentral lists this ribosomal RNA (241 nucleotides) under uncultured bacterium. RNAcentral's name for it is "partial 16S ribosomal RNA". It matches the Rfam family "Bacterial small subunit ribosomal RNA", at positions 92 to 334 of the family's 1533-position model. The record is from RNAcentral.